AUUGAACGCUGGCGGCAUGCUUUACACAUGCAAGUCGAACGGUAACAGGCCUUCGGGUGCUGACGAGUGGCGAACGGGUGCGUAAUGCAUCGGAACGUGCCCAGAGUUGGGGGAUAACGCAGCGAAAGCUGUGCUAAUACCGCAUGUGAUCUGAGUAUGAAAGCGGGGGACCAGGCAGCAAUGUUUGGCCUCGCGCCUUUGGAGCGGCCGAUGUCAGAUUAGGUAGUUGGUGGGGUAAAGGCCUACCAAGCCGACGAUCUGUAGCUGGUCUGAGAGGACGACCAGCCACACUGGGACUGAGACACGGCCCAGACUCCUACGGGAGGCAGCAGUGGGGAAUUUUGGACAAUGGGCGCAAGCCUGAUCCAGCAAUGCCGCGUGCGGGAAGAAGGCCUUCGGGUUGUAAACCGCUUUUGUACGGAACGAAAAGGCUCUGGCUAAUACCUGGGGCUGAUGACGGUACCGUAAGAAUAAGCACCGGCUAACUACGUG
RNAcentral lists this ribosomal RNA (492 nucleotides) under uncultured bacterium. RNAcentral's name for it is "partial 16S ribosomal RNA". It matches the Rfam family "Bacterial small subunit ribosomal RNA", at positions 30 to 507 of the family's 1533-position model. The record is from RNAcentral.